RNAcentral lists this ribosomal RNA (497 nucleotides) under uncultured bacterium. RNAcentral's name for it is "bacterial SSU rRNA". It matches the Rfam family "Bacterial small subunit ribosomal RNA", at positions 1 to 507 of the family's 1533-position model. The record is from RNAcentral.
AGGAGUUUGAUCAUGGCUCAGGAUGAACGCUAGCGGCAGGCCUAAUACAUGCAAGUCGAACGCUCAGUAGCAAUACUGGGAGUGGCGCACGGGUGCGUAACGCGUACACAAUCUACCUCUAAGCGGGGGACACCUCCUGGAAACGGGGAUUAAUACCGCAUAAUAUGCCGAAGUCGCAUGACUUUGGUAUUAAAGCAGCAAUGCACUUAGAGAUGAGUGUGCGUCCCAUUAGGUAGUUGGUGAGGUAACGGCUCACCAAGCCUAUGAUGGGUAGCCGGUCUGAGAGGAUGGUCGGCCACACGGGCACUGAGACACGGGCCCGACUCCUACGGGAGGCAGCAGUAAGGAAUAUUGGUCAAUGGUGGAAACACUGAACCAGCCAUGCCGCGUGGAGGAAUAAGGUCCUACGGAUUGUAAACUCCUUUUGACGAGGAAGAAAAUGUUAGGUUUAUCUAAUUUUGACGGUACUCGUAGAAUAAGCACCGGCUAACUCCGUG